This 2662-nucleotide ribosomal RNA is filed under the name Thalassionema frauenfeldii. RNAcentral's name for it is "partial Bacterial large subunit ribosomal RNA". It matches the Rfam family "Bacterial large subunit ribosomal RNA". Lineage: Eukaryota; Bacillariophyta; Fragilariophyceae; Thalassionematales; Thalassionemataceae. The record is from RNAcentral.
UGGACGUUUAAAACGAAAUUUUAAAAUGAGUUUUUAUUAAUUUUGAUUUUUAAAUUUCCUUACAACAAAUUGAAUUAGAUUAAAUAAAAUUAAUUGUUAUAUAACAUGUAAAACUUAGCGAAUUGAAACAUCUUAGUAGCUAAAGUUAAAACAUCAACCGAGAAACUGUAAGUAGUGGCGAACGAAAACAGUAUUUGACUCAAAAGAACUUUGUAAAAAACCCAUAGAAGGUAAAAGUCCUGUAUAACAAUAACCAGUAAUUCUUUUGUAAUUUUAAGUAAAACAAUUUUUUUGUUUUAAAAAUUGGGGUACCAUCCCUCAAAGUCUGAAAUUUUUAAUGCUUGAUAGUGGAAUAGUACUGUGAAGGAACGGUGAAAUAAAAUCCUAGGAUUUGAAAAGAUUUUGAAAUUUAAUGUUGACAAUCUGUUGAAGCUUUGAAUAAAGUAACAGCGUACCUUUUGUAUAAUGGAUCAACAAGUUUAUUAAAGUGGCGAGCUUAAAUAUUAAUGUGUAGGCUUAAAGAAAUUAAAUUUGUUUUAAAAAUGCUUUUAAGUCUCUUUAAUAAUACCCGAAACUAAGUGAUCUAUUCAUGAACAGGUUGAAAAUGACGCGUAAGCCCAUUGAAGGACCGAACCAGUGUGUGUGGCAAAAUACUUGGAUGAUUUGUGAUUAGGGGUGAAAGGCCAAUCAAACUUAGAAAUAGCUGGUUUUCUGCGAAAUCUAUUUUAGUAGAGCGUUUAAAAACGUUGUUUAGGGGUAGAGCUCUUGAUAAAUAAAGGGGAUGAAAAAUCUUACUGAAUUUAAUAAAACUUCGAAUACUUAACAAUUUUAGUUUUUAAGCAGACAGACUACGAGUGCUAAGAUUCGUAGUCAAAAGGGAAACAGCCCAGAUUAAAUAAUAAGGUUCUCAAAAAUAAUUAAGUGCGAAACAUAGAAAAAAACAAAAACAACCGAAAAGUAGGCUUGGAAGCAGCCAUCUUUUAAAGAAAGCGUAACAGCUCAUUGGUUUGAAUUUUUUCUAUUUAAAAUGUAUAGGAACUAAAAUUAUUUACCGAAAUUUUAAAUUAAAUUAGUAAAAGACUAAUAUAAAUUAAUGGUAGCAGAACGUUCUGUAAAUUUAUUAAGAUUUAUAGUAAUAUAAAUUGAAAAUAUCAGAAUUGCUAAUGUUGAUAUGAGUAGCUUAAACAAUGUGAAAAACAUUGUCGCCUUAAAUCUAAGGUUUCCAAAAUAAAGUUAAUCUGUUUUGGUGUUAAUCGGUCUCUAAAAUUAAAACGAAAGUUUUAUUUUGAUGAGUUUUAAAAUGUUAAUUUUGAUUAAUUAUUUAUGUGACAAAAUACAAAUAUGAUUUUUAUUUUAUGGUAAAACAAUAAAAGUAAUCUAGUAUUUUCAAGAAAUAGCAUUUAUAUAUUGAUUUAACCGUACUAAAACCGACACAGGUAGAUAAAUUGAAAAAAUUAAGGCGUUAAGAGAAUUGUAUUGAAGGAACUCGGCAAAAUUACUCUGUAACUUCGGAAAAAAGAGUACCUUAUUUUGGAUUUUAAAAAUUUUCAAUUUAAGGUCACAGAAAAUUGAGGAAAGCGGCUGUUUACUAAAAACAUAGGUCUCUGCUAAAUUGUAAAAUGAAGUAUAGAGACUGACGUCUGCCCAGUGCUGUAUGAAUAAUAAAUUAAUGUUUACGAGCAUCAGUUUUUAAUUUUCAGUAAACGGCGGUUGUAACUCUGACGAUCCAAAGGUAGCGAAAUUCCUUGGCAUUUAAUUGGUGUCCUUGCAUGAAUGACGUAACGACUUUCCUACUGUCUCCAGUACAAGCUUAGUGAAAUUGAAUUUUUUGUGAAGAUGCAAAAUUUUUGCCGAUAGACGGAAAGACCCCGUACACCUUUACUAUAAUCAUAUAUUGUAGUAAGAAAUUUUAUUGUUUAGCAUAAGUGGUAAGUUUUUAUUAAUAUUUUUUACACAAGUAAAUAAAUUAAAACUUUAUGUGAAAUACCACUCUAUUAAAUUUUUUACUACUUAUUUUAAAGACAGUGUAUGACUGGUAGUUUGACUGGGGCGGUCACCUCCUAAAAAGUAUCGGAGGUGUGCUAAGGUAAGCUCAAAUUAAUUUUAAAUUAAUUUUAGAGCGCAAUAGUACAUGCUUGCUUGAUUGUAAGAUUGACAAAUCGAACAAGGACGGAAGUCGGUUAUAGUGAUCCGAUGAUUUUAUGUGGAAAAGUCAUCGCUCAACGAAUAAAAGGUACGUCGGGGAUAACAGGCUAAUAAUUCCUAAGAGACCUUAUCGACGGAAUUGUUUGGCACCUCGAUGUUGGAUUAUCGCAUCCAGGAAUUGCACAAGAUUCCAAGGGUUUGACUGUUCGUCAAUUAAGGCGGUACAUGAUCUGAGUUUAGAACGUUGUAAAACAGUUUGGUCCCUAUCUUCGGUAAAUUUUAAAAAUUGAAAGGUGUUAACUCUAGUACGAGAGGACCGAGAAAAAUAAAUCCAUGGUUUAUCAAUUGUUAGACCACUAGCAUUGUUGAUUAGCUACAUUUGUAAUAGAUAAUUACUGAAAGCAAUUCAAGUAAGAAGCUAACCUUAAAACUGAUUUUUUUAAAUGUAAUAGAUUAUUACAUCAAUAGGUCUGAUGUGUGCAAGCUGUAAAGUUUUUAGCAAACAGAUACUAAUAUU